CAGGCGUCCGUUGGGACCCUCUGCAGUCUCCAGCUCUCCAGAGGGCGCCUGCGGCUACUCCUAUUUGCCGGUGCCGGAUUCAGAGCGGGCGACUUUGAGCCCCUUCUCAAAGUGCGCUGCGGUCUGGGAAAGAGAUCUUUUCGCCUGCAGUUUCAGCAAAGAAGCACUCAGGGAGCGGAAAGUAGGUCGCAGUGGAACCUAGAAAGCUGUCCCAAGAGAGCUCGCAGUG
RNAcentral lists this long non-coding RNA (229 nucleotides) under Homo sapiens (human). Its description in RNAcentral is "HSALNT0087169". The record is from RNAcentral. Lineage: Eukaryota; Metazoa; Chordata; Mammalia; Primates; Hominidae.